UACGUAGGGGGCAAGCGUUGUCCGGAAUUAUUGGGCGUAAAGAGCGCGUAGGCGGUCCGAUAAGUCGGCUGUGAAAGUCAGGGGCUCAACCCUUGGAAGCCGGCCGAUACUGUCGGACUAGAGUCCGGAAGAGGCGAGUGGAAUUCCUGGUGUAGCGGUGAAAUGCGCAGAUAUCAGGAGGAACACCUAUUGCGAAGGCAGCUCGCUGGGACGUAACUGACGCUGAGACGCGAAAGCGUGGGGAGCAAACAGG
RNAcentral lists this ribosomal RNA (253 nucleotides) under uncultured bacterium. RNAcentral's name for it is "partial 16S ribosomal RNA". It matches the Rfam family "Bacterial small subunit ribosomal RNA", at positions 524 to 776 of the family's 1533-position model. The record is from RNAcentral.